RNAcentral lists this ribosomal RNA (442 nucleotides) under uncultured bacterium. Its description in RNAcentral is "partial 16S ribosomal RNA". It matches the Rfam family "Bacterial small subunit ribosomal RNA", at positions 338 to 795 of the family's 1533-position model. The record is from RNAcentral.
CCUACGGGUGGCAGCAGUAGGGAAUCUUUCACAAUGGGCGAAAGCCUGAUGGAGCAACGCCGCGUGCAGGAUGAAGGCCUUCGGGUUGUAAACUGCUUUUAUAAGCGAGAAAUAUGAUGGUAACUUAUGAAUAAGGAUCGGCUAACUACGUGCCAGCAGCCGCGGUCAUACGUAGGAUCCGAGCAUUAUCCGGAGUGACUGGGUGUAAAGAGUUGCGUAGGUGGCAUAAGAAGUAGCUAGUGAAAUCGGGUGGCUCAACCAUUCAGACUAUUAGCUAAACUGUUAAGCUCGAGACCGUUAGGGGUAACUGGAAUUUCUAGUGUAGGAGUGAAAUCCGUAGAUAUUAGAAGGAACACCAAUAGCGUAGGCAGGUUACUGGGACGGUUCUGACACUAAGGCACGAAAGCGUAGGGAGCAAACGGGAUUAGAUACCCCUGUAGUC